RNAcentral lists this ribosomal RNA (424 nucleotides) under uncultured bacterium. RNAcentral's name for it is "partial 16S ribosomal RNA". It matches the Rfam family "Bacterial small subunit ribosomal RNA", at positions 360 to 776 of the family's 1533-position model. The record is from RNAcentral.
AAUUUUGGACAAUGGGCGCAAGCCUGAUCUAGCCAUGCCGCGUGAGUGAAGAAGGCCUUCGGGUUGUAAAGCUCUUUCGGACGGAAAGAAAUCGCGCAGGCUAAUACCCUGCGCGUGUGACUGUACCUUCAUAAUAAGCUCCGGCUAACUACGUGCCCGCAGCCGCGGUAAUACGUUGGGUGCGAAGGUUAAUCGGAAUUACUGGGCGUAAAGCGUGCGCAGGAGGUUAAUUAAGACCGGCGUGAAAUCCCCGGGCUUAACCUGGGAACUGCGCUUGUGACUGGUCAGCUAGAGUACGGCAGAGGGGGGUGGAAUUCCACGUGUAGCAGUGAAAUGCGUAGAGAUGUGGAGGAACACCGAUGGCGAAGGCAGCCCCCUGGGCCGAUACUGACGCUCAUGCACGAAAGCGUGGGUAGCAAACAGG